Lagenorhynchus albirostris (white-beaked dolphin) is the source of this 165-nucleotide long non-coding RNA. RefSeq lists it as uncharacterized. Lineage: Eukaryota; Metazoa; Chordata; Mammalia; Artiodactyla; Delphinidae. The transcript has 3 exons. The record is from RefSeq and is a predicted model, not a curated record.
GGUCGGCGCACCACUGCUUUGGUUUCUUAUGCGAUGGUGAGUAGGGAAAGGGACAGAGAACUGCAUCAAAGAGGAAGGAAUAAUCCCAGGUCUCUUGCCAUUGGAGCUCCAGCUCUGCGUGCUCAAGCCGCAGCCCUUUCCCAAGAUGGGGAAGACAAAACCAAG